This 302-nucleotide long non-coding RNA is filed under the name Carica papaya (papaya). RNAcentral's name for it is "long non-coding RNA (CPAP_LNC007976)". Lineage: Eukaryota; Viridiplantae; Streptophyta; Magnoliopsida; Brassicales; Caricaceae. The record is from RNAcentral.
UGGUAAAAAUCAUAAAAAUAACUAAUGGAGCUCUUAAUUUAAGUAAAUUCAUUCAUCAUAAGUAAAAUCAUUUAUUGCAUACUUACCGUUGCAAGAUUUCUAAAACUGACCUAUAGAGAUAAUAGCUCAACAACAUCAUAAUCUCAUAUUCAAAUAAGCAAGAAUAACAACUUUCUCUUUUUAUUUGCUUACUGGUAUUCAUGGGGGUCCAUGGGGAUGUCCCACUACGCGUGAACCAACAUCCAACCCUGUCAACUAACCGAUCGUCCCAUAUCCUGUCUGGUAUGAGCGCUAAAAAUACU